CGUGUAGGCGGUCUUUUUAAGUCAGACGUGAAAUCUCUGGGCUUAACCCAGAAAUUGCGUUUGAAACUGGAAGGCUUGAGGAUCGGAGAGGGUAGUGGAAUUCCCAGUGUAGCGGUGAAAUGCGUAGAUAUUGGGAGGAACACCAGUGGCGAAGGCGACUGCCUGGACGACACCUGACGCUGAGGCGCGAAAGCCAGGGGAGCAAACGGGAUUAGAUACCCCGGUAGUCCUGGCCGUAAACGAUGGGUACUAGGUGUGGGAGGUAUCGACCCCUUCGUGCCGCAGUUAACACAAUAAGUACCCCGCCUGGGGAGUACGGCCGCAAGGUUGAA
Molecule: ribosomal RNA, 332 nt
Filed under: uncultured bacterium
Lineage: Bacteria
Description: bacterial SSU rRNA
Rfam family: Bacterial small subunit ribosomal RNA
Source: RNAcentral